Bombyx mandarina (wild silkworm) is the source of this 369-nucleotide long non-coding RNA. NCBI's taxonomy places the organism in Eukaryota, Metazoa, Arthropoda, Insecta, Lepidoptera, Bombycidae. The record is from RefSeq and is a predicted model, not a curated record.
UAUAUAAACUGCAUUACGUUUUCAGUUGAUCAAACAAGUCGUUCUUACAGCACAAGACUUUUGGUAUUCAACAUUUAACCACAUUAGUCUCAUUUCAAACCAUUAACAAUGCCGUGCGGAGGUUGCGGAGACGAUUGCAAAUGCACCACAAACCAGUGUUGUCAGAAUUGUAAAUGCGAUUCUUCGUGCAUUUGUUCCGGCAAGAAGCCAGCACCAGUGGAAGCCAGCAAGAAGACUACCAAAUCAUGAAAUCGACUAGAAAAUUAUAAUACGUAAUUGUAAAUUGUAAUCUCGGUAAUGAAAAUUGUAUCAUAAUAUUGAGAAUGUAAUCUGAUUAAUAAACAUAAUACAUUUAAAUUGGACAAACUG